Molecule: ribosomal RNA, 748 nt
Filed under: uncultured bacterium
Lineage: Bacteria
Description: bacterial SSU rRNA
Rfam family: Bacterial small subunit ribosomal RNA
Source: RNAcentral
AGAGUUUGAUCAUGGCUCAGGAUGAACGCUGGCGGCGUGCUUAACACAUGCAAGUCGAACGGAGUAAUUAAAGCAGCUUGCUACAUUAAUUGCUUAGUGGCGGACGGGUGAGUAACGCGUGGAUAACCUACCUUACACAGGGGGAUAACAACGAGAAAUCGUUGCUAAUACCGCAUAAGUGUGAUUUCCGCAUGGGGAUCAUAUGAAAGCUCCGGCGGUGCAAGAUGGGUCCGCGUCUGAUUAGCUAGUUGGUGGGGUAAAGGCCCACCAAGGCAACGAUCAGUAGCCGGCUUGAGAGAGUGGACGGCCACACUGGGACUGAGACACGGCCCAGACUCCUACGGGAGGCAGCAGUGGGGAAUAUUGCACAAUGGGGGAAACCCUGAUGCAGCGACGCCGCGUGAAGGAAGAAGGUCUUCGGAUCGUAAACUUCUAUCAGCAGGGAAGAAGAUAGUGACUGUACCUGACUAAGAAGCCCCGGCUAACUACGUGCCAGCAGCCGCGGUAAUACGUAGGGGGCAAGCGUUAUCCGGAAUCACUGGGUGUAAAGGGUGCGUAGGCGGUAGGGCAAGUCAGAUGUGAAAGCCCGGGGCUCAACUCCGGGAUUGCAUUUGAAACUGUCUUACUAGAGUGCAGGAGAGGAAAGCGGAAUUCCUAGUGUAGCGGUGAAAUGCGUAGAUAUUAGGAAGAACACCAGUGGCGAAGGCGGCUUUCUGGACUGUAACUGACGCUGAGGCACGAAAGCGUG